GAUGAACGCUGGCGGCGUGCUUAACACAUGCAAGUCGAACGAUUAAACCGGCUCCGGCCGGAUAUAGAGUGGCGAACGGGUGAGUAACACGUGACCAACCUGCCCAUCACUUUGGGAUAACCCGGGGAAACCCGCGCUAAUACCAAAUACUCCGCGGGCCCCGCAUGGGGCCCGCGGGAAAGCUCCGACGGUGGUGGAUGGGGUCGCGGCCCAUUAGCUAGUCGGUGGGGUAACGGCCCACCGGGGCGACGAUCAGUAGGGGUUCUGAGAGGAAGGUCCCCCACAUUGGUACUGAGACACGGACCAAACUCC
RNAcentral lists this ribosomal RNA (312 nucleotides) under uncultured Coriobacteriaceae bacterium. Its description in RNAcentral is "bacterial SSU rRNA". It matches the Rfam family "Bacterial small subunit ribosomal RNA", at positions 28 to 339 of the family's 1533-position model. Lineage: Bacteria; Bacillati; Actinomycetota; Coriobacteriia; Coriobacteriales; Coriobacteriaceae. The record is from RNAcentral.